This is a long non-coding RNA of Polypterus senegalus (gray bichir), 419 nucleotides long. RefSeq lists it as uncharacterized. Lineage: Eukaryota; Metazoa; Chordata; Cladistia; Polypteriformes; Polypteridae. The record is from RefSeq and is a predicted model, not a curated record. The transcript is spliced from 3 exons.
UUUUUACUAGCGCUCCUGCCCUGCAGGGGGCGCGCUAUGGUGCGCUCAGCUUCUCUCGUUCGGGGGCGCGCGCAGUGAGACAGACAGGCUGCCACGUAAUCCAGCAGCGCAUUGACUGCACACCGCAGGCUUCAAGCGGUGGAUCGGUAGCAGCGUUUUCAGCUGGGGAGUUGCUGGAAAGUAGGAGAGUGGCAAGACGGGCAUAGAGCAUAAAAGAGAAAAGGCAACGGAGAAGAGUUAGCGGGUUGCUGGGGGCAGGAAUCUGUUUGAGGAGCUUUGGAAGCAAGGCAACACUGGACAAGGUGACCAACAUUACAGUUGAAGCCCAGUCCCACCUUCCCAACCCCACUUGCAUCUCGGACUGGAGGGCAUCUUGACGUCACACCAGACGCCGAGGGAUUUUCCCCUCCAUAUCCCAA